CUUGCCUAAUCGCGAUAACGAACGAGACCUUAACCUGCUAAAUAGCCCGCAUUACUUCGGUAGUGUGCCGGCUUCUUAGAGGGACUAUCGGCUCAAGCCGAUGGAAGUUUGAGGCAAUAACAGGUCUGUGAUGCCCUUAGAUGUUCUGGGCCGCACGCGCGUUACACUGACAGAGCCAGCGAGUUCUUCCUUGGCCGAAAGGCCCGGGUAAUCUUGUUAAACUCUGUCGUGCUGGGGAUAGGGCAUUGCAAUG
Molecule: ribosomal RNA, 253 nt
Filed under: uncultured fungus
Lineage: Eukaryota; Fungi
Description: partial small subunit ribosomal RNA
Rfam family: Eukaryotic small subunit ribosomal RNA
Source: RNAcentral